This is a long non-coding RNA of Rhipicephalus microplus (southern cattle tick), 1262 nucleotides long. The record is from RefSeq and is a predicted model, not a curated record. Lineage: Eukaryota; Metazoa; Arthropoda; Arachnida; Ixodida; Ixodidae.
UUGCCUCCCGCAGGGAAGUUUUUGUAUUUUUUUUUAUUCUUUCCUGCAAAAAUAAACUUUGAAACUUUGAAACUUUGAAGACGACAACGGACCUGCGAGGGCGCUAGCAAUGCAGGAGAGGGCACAAGCCAUGAAGCUGUGGCGCAAGCGUGCAUGGAGCACCUUGAACACAUCAGAGCGAACAAGGGGGUCAUCAAAAAAGAUAACAUUGGUUUCUUCGCUCUACGUACCGAUGCACCCCUCAGAGAGCUACCAGUGCACAUUGCACAAGAUGUAAUGCAUGCAGUAGAACUUAUGCUGUAUGAAGCAGAGGCAAAAUUGCAUCAGAGCAGUGAAGCAAAUUGAAGUGUUUAUAUAUAUAAAGUCAAUGACACCCACCUUUUUUUAUCUUGUGUUCACUUUUCUAGUCCUAACUUAAAGGGGUCAUGACUGGUCACUCAACAAUUGACGGUUGUCAGCAAAAAACAAAACUACAGAGUAAAAUGUGCUAGUACACGUGUGAAAAGGGGCCUUAAGAGAUUAUUUUAGUCAAAAAUAUGCCGUAGAAGUGCUCGGCUCCUAAAACUCAACCUACCACAAGUGACCGCCAUUUUGUCAUGGCGUGCGCGACGUCACAAGCCGAAGGAGCAGUGGCAAAUGGUAUACGCAUUGCACAUUCACGAAAUUAUUUGCUGCAAGUACCAACGCUACAUUGCUGACACAGUAGCCAUGUUUCGACCCCUGGAAGUCAUUUAGCUUUAGUGGAGAGUUCAACAAUGCAAAAAAAUUUGAUUGCAAACGCAGCUGAUGACAAAACACGACCGUCUGCCAGAAUGCACACUGUGCAGCAGCUUGUCGAGCAAGCGGUUCGUGAUGUCAUGGAUAGUGAGUGCAUCAGUAUUGCCCAACUGUCAGGCGACUAGCUCGUUUAUAAAAAUAUGCGAUUAAAAAUUAGCAGCUUGACCAAAUCGCUCGAAUUUCACCAGCUUGUAUGUGAACAUACAAGAAUCAGCUCAUGCAACACACAUUAUGGUUGAAAAUUGGGUGUCAUGACCCCUUUAAGGCCACUUAUUUCUGUGAUAAUUAUAGCGAUAACCGUGCAAUAACUCAAAUAUUUUAACAUGAAUUAUUUAUUUUUGUGUUUUCAUGGUUAUAUUUGGACAUGACAGUUUUCCCUGUAAUGUAUCUGUUGUGUCACGGGUGAUUUUUUUCUUCUUUGUUUAGCUUAAGAAGAUGCUAUGUACAUAAGUUCUGUAAGCAAUAAAAUGCAUUUACAACCCACC